Molecule: ribosomal RNA, 465 nt
Filed under: uncultured bacterium
Lineage: Bacteria
Description: partial 16S ribosomal RNA
Rfam family: Bacterial small subunit ribosomal RNA
Source: RNAcentral
CCUACGGGAGGCAGCAGUAGGGAAUCUUCCACAAUGGACGGAAGUCUGAUGGAGCAACGCCGCGUGAGUGAAGAAGGGAUUCGGCACGUAAAGCUCUGUUGGUAGUGAAAAAAGAUAGAGGUAGUAACUGGCCUUUAGUUGACGCGAAUUACUAAGAAAGUCACGGCCAACUACGUGCAAGCAGCCGCGGUAAUACGUAGGUGGCAAGAGUUGUCCGGGUUUAUUGGGCGUAAGGCGAUUGCAGUCUGGUCAAUCAGUCUGAUGUGAAAGCCUUCGGCUCAACCGGUGUGUUGCAUCAGAAACUGUUGAAGUGGAGUGAAGGAGAGGAGAGUGGAACUCCAGGUGUAGCGGUGGAAUGCGUAGAUAUAUAGAAGAACGCCAGUGGCGAAGGCGGCUCUCUGGUCUGCAACUGAUGCUGAGGCUCGAAAGCAUGGGUAGCGAACAGGAGUAGAUACCCUAGUAGUC